This 392-nucleotide long non-coding RNA is filed under the name Elaeis guineensis (African oil palm). RNAcentral describes it as "long non-coding RNA (EGUI_LNC018636)". Lineage: Eukaryota; Viridiplantae; Streptophyta; Magnoliopsida; Arecales; Arecaceae. The record is from RNAcentral.
AAUACACUAAUAAGCCUCUAGCAGAUGAAUUAAGAGAUCUCAUUAUGUAUGGUUCAGAACUUGAAAUAAUAAUAGAUAUAGUAAGAGGACUUCAUACCUUAUGGUAAGAUACUAUUUGUUAACUCUUUUUAUAGAACCAUUUGUCAUGACAUGAAUGCAAAAUGUCAUAAAUACCUAUAUUUUGGAUAAAAAUACAACUUAAAAGACUACACCUCCGGAUUAACGGCAUCUACAACUAUAGUCAAUGCACCUCAAGACACAACACCAUCGAGGAUAGUCCAAGACAAUGCACCUCCAGACAUAAAAUUUUAGAGACAACCCAAGACAAUGCUACUCGAGAUACGGUGCCACCACCAGAGGUAACUCGAGACACAGCACCACCUAUAGCAACG